UCAAAGUUACAAUAUAUAUAAUCUGGAUAUUCGUUCUUACAAAUCAAAUUUAUGGCAAACAAGAACUCGCAAAAGAUUUUUCAGUAGAACUUCCUGCUGCUUGUAUUGAACCAAGAAAUGAUGAAGCUAAUAAUUGUGCUAUAAAUCAUUCAUUUCGAUACAUAAGAGAUAACGAUACAUGUGUAGCUGUUACAGACAAACAUUGCAGAGGUCGUAAUCGUUUUCACAUGAAAUCAGAGUGUCUUUGGCGAUGCUCUAAAGUUAUCAAUAGAAAUCAUAAUAGAAAAAGCAAUAUCGAGAUGGAAAAGAUUACUAGAAUUUGUCACAAGAAAGAACAUACAACCACAGAAAAACCCAACAAAAAAGCUGAAACCAAAUUUACAACAAAAACUACCAAAGUACCGAAUGUAACAAAAGAAACAUUCUACAAUCCAUGUAAGGAUAGACCAACUGACUGUUUCAGAACUACUGCUGCAUUCAGAUUUGAUGAAAAAUCAAACGAAUGCGUACCGAUAGUGGACAACAAUUGCAGAGGUGCUAAUAGAUUCACAUUAAAAUCAGAAUGUGAGUUUGUCUGUAAGGAAUCAUAAUAUUUACUAAGGUGUGCUUGAUACUUCCACUUAUUUGUCAUCAGAAACAUAUCUCUUGUAAAACUAUUUAAAUAUUUUGAGCAAAUAAAAGACA
Culicoides brevitarsis is the source of this 684-nucleotide long non-coding RNA. RefSeq lists it as uncharacterized. The transcript is spliced from 3 exons. The record is from RefSeq and is a predicted model, not a curated record. NCBI's taxonomy places the organism in Eukaryota, Metazoa, Arthropoda, Insecta, Diptera, Ceratopogonidae.